UACGGAGGGUGCAAGCGUUACUCGGAAUCACUGGGCGUAAAGGGUGCGUAGGCUGGCUUUUAAGUCAGAUGUGAAAUCCAAUGGCUCAACCAUUGAACUGCAUUUGAAACUGAGAGCCUAGAGUUCAGAAGGGGCAGAUGGAAUUAGUGGUGUAGGGGUAAAAUCCGUAGAUAUCACUAGGAAUAUCAAAAGCGAAGGCGAUCUGCUGGGAUGAUACUGACGCUGAGGCACGAAAGCGUGGGGAGCAAACAGG
Molecule: ribosomal RNA, 253 nt
Filed under: uncultured bacterium
Lineage: Bacteria
Description: partial 16S ribosomal RNA
Rfam family: Bacterial small subunit ribosomal RNA
Source: RNAcentral